AAGACCACCAAAGAUGAAAUAUAUAUGUAUUUUUUCUUUUUAAAGUAAUGAUUUUUCCUUUUCCAAUUUUCUGUUCUUGUUCUUUCUCCUUUCUUUUUCUUUUUCCCCUCCUUAAUGAAAUAAGAGUGGGGGUUUAAAUAGGUGUUGAGCAUUAAACCCCCCACUCUUCUUGAAAACUUAAGAGCCAAUGCAUGCAUUGGACUCUUUGUUUUCCCAAGGUGCCACCCAAGAUGACCAAUGGUAAUUCCUUUUUUUUUUUUUCUAAGAUAAAAUUAAUUAAAAGACUAUAUUGCCCUUUAGAUGACCCAUUUCUUUUAUUCAUUAAUUAAAUAAUAGCUAAAUGGGUCAUCUGAAAAUUUAGAAUAGGCCCAAUAUGUCAUUUUAGAUGACCUAUUUCUUUUAUUCAUUAAUUGAAUAAUAGCUAAAUGGGCCAUCUGAAAAUUUUAAAAUAGGCCGAAAAUUGAUCAAGACCCAAAAAUCAAAACAAAAUAAGUCCACAAACACAAAAUCUAAACAUCUAAACUAUUUUAAAGAUCAAACACAACAAAUAGGGCUGAAAAAUAAAAAAAAGAAAUAAAAAACGAAAUUAAAAAAAAAAAACUCAAGUAACAACUUAAACAUGAACUUGAAGAACACUAACAAAACAAUAUAAAUCCGGCAUCAAAACAACUUAUAUGAUUCAAAAAAUGUGAUAAUGACGGAUUUGGAUAGAGGAUGAGAGGGGGAAAUGGUUGACAUAAAUUUUCAGACGAUUGGAGGUCGCCGAAAAAUUCUGCCGAAUUUUUUUUGACGGAUUUUGGACAUAAACUUUACAUGAAAGGAUAGCCCUUGAAGAGCUCUACACUUUUAUGUAAAUGAUAUAGGACGGGGAUGACCGAAACUUCAUAAAUCUAAAGAAAAAGGUGGAGAUUUAUGUUUGAUUUUCUUAGAAUCUACGGAGUUUGGCUAUGAAUAUGAACGAAUGGUUUGCGAAUUUGUGUAGAGGAGGAUGAAAGGAAGAAGUGGUAAAAAUUUAAAGAUUUUUUCCGGCCAAGGGGUGGUGGCCGGCGGCGGCGGCGGCGGCCGGCCGGCGGCAAGUGGAAGCAAGGGGGAGAAGAACAAAAAAAAUAAAAAAUGGCAAUAAAAAUUUGAUUUUGGGAUUUUGUAUUUUUGGUAGGGUCCCAUAAGAACCCUUGGAUCAAAAAAUCAUGGAUGGUUGAGAUUUAAUCUUGACCAUUUCUAUUGGACCGGGUCAAAAUUGAUUGGGCCAUCAGAAUUUGGUCUAAAUCAACCCAAUUCAAUCAAAAAUUGGGUCAUUUGGGCCAAUUAAAAAAAAUAAUGUAAACAAAAACAAACUACCCAAAAUACAAAACAAAAAUAUAAGACCCUAAUAUAUAUUGUAGGAGUAGAUUAAACACGUCAAAAAUUAGGUGUUCACAGCAUGCCCCUCUUUGCUUGGAAACAUAAAGAGUUUUCAAGUGAAGAAAGUGAACGAAGUGGCUAAUUUUUUACUGUGCAAACUCCGUUGAAACCUUUUUGAAAAAGAUGACCGAACCUUGCUUUACAGGUUGCCUACAUAUCCUUGAUUAAAAGGAAAUCAGGUCAGUGUAGUUCGAAAAACUUUGAUAGCUGAAACUAUCAGAAAAUGCGGUCAAAAGAUUGCUUCACAUUGCUUGUCAUCAUCUACUGUCUAUAAUUACAAAUAAAAGAGCUAGAGAACUAUGCCUCUCUACAUUAUAAGAGUUACAAGAUCCCUACUUGAUUUUUUUCCUUAGGGUCUCGUCUUGAUCUUUGAUUUGCUCUGUGCGUUAUCUUUGAUAUUGAUCUUCAUGCUCUCUCGGCGGCUUGCAGAUCAUUCUGAGGUGCAUGUUUUAACUUGAGUUGGCGGUUGAAACUCGAAACUCAAGAUCACAAAAUGAAGAACCCAAAAAGGAUGUGUUUCUGUUAGGGAAGGAAAAAAAAUGAAAAAUCUUAAACUAGGACGUAUAACCCUAGAAAGAAAAGGAGAAGCGGGGUGUGUUGCCCUGAGAGUUUCAAAUAAGACGUAUUGUCUUUGUGGAUUGUCUAAGAUUGGAUAUAUCCCCAAAAAUAUGAUUAUGGUGUGUAUAACCCAUGAAUGCUGGUGUGUAUUGCCCAGGAUAUGCAUAUGGUGCGUAUUGCCCAUGAAUAGAAAAUUGAUGCGUAUUGCAUGUGAAUAAGGACUGGUGCGUAUUGCACAUGAAAGAAGACUAGUGUGUUUUGCACAUGAACGCAAUAUCGAUGUGUAUUGCAUGUGAUUUCGAUUGGUACGUCUUGCUUAUGAAAGAAAAACUGGUACGUUUCACACUUGAAUAAAGGACGAGUGCGUAUUUGCACGGAAUUCAGAUUGGUGCGUAUUGCACGAAAUUCAGAUUGGUGCGUAUUGCACAUGAAUAAAGGAUGGUGCGUAUUGCGCAUAAAUAAAGGACGUGUGCGUAAUGCACGGAAUUUAGAGUGGUGCGUAUUGCCCGAAACUCUCGAAUUGAGUGGCAAGAAUGCGAAUAGCAUGAGAGGAAACAACAAACAUGUGAAGACUUAGGAGAACUUCCUUUUUGUGAUGUUUCAUUUUUGACUUGUAAUCCCGCAUUUUCUUUUGUUCUUGUGUUGAGCAAAAGAAAGAGAAAAUUGUUAGUUUGUGGCCUUGAUGCUCCGAUGACUUGACCAUACUUCUGACCAAUUUCUCCAGCUCUACUCAAAAUUCUUGGUUGAACAACCUUUGAAGCUUCCUCUUUGUUGAUUCAGGGGCGUUGAUCUUUUUGGUACUACCAAAUAUCAUGGUGCGACUGAUGUCCCAAAGGAUAAAUUUUCCUGUUGAAUAUUUUUUCAUGGCUUAAGAGACUAUAUCGUGUUCCUUCACGAGUUUUCAGUGAAGAUUUGAGGCAUUUUUAGUCCUUGCUCGAGGCAUGUCAACUCGGAUACUCAGCUUUACUUUUGGGAACCCGUAGUAAGUUUUGCAAUCUUUUACCUUAUUUGUCAAGAGAUUAUACCGAAAAGACUAGAGAAAUAUCAGGUUUAAGAGUGAAAAAAAAAAUUGGAUCAAGAAAGACUAUAAACUUAAGGAAGGGCAUUCCUUUUGAAGAAAAAUGAGAAAGAAAACUUAUCUGGAGGCAUAUGUCGACUUUGAGUGAACCAUGACAUGCACUUUGGACGUGACCCCGGAUCCACUUGAGUUGUCUAAUUCUCAAAAUCUGAACUAUUAUCAAUUUAUAACUGAUCUAUGGAUUCUUCAUGUAGAGGUAUCGAGAAAUGGUGUUCUUUACAGAUUUCUCCCAACUAGUCAUUUUCAUGAUGUUCUCUUCUUUUAUCUUAAGGUGCCCUGCAAGAGUUUUCACCGAUAAGAUUUCUCUAUUGUCGUCUUAUGGUGCCUAUAAAGGUUUUCACCGAUAAGACUUUCUCUUUUCUCUUUUUUUUUUUUUUUCGACUCGACAAAGUUGUCCUUGAUGACGAAUUGUCCAUGCAAGACACAUCGAAUUUAUCAUUCUCAGAGUUGAUAAAAAAUGUUGGUUGCUAGAAUAAAAUCAAAAAUGAAAUCAAUUUGACUCUAUUCUAUCAAAAAAGAAAAAAAAAGAAAAAAUAAAAAUGCCCUAGUUUUCUAUAGAUACUGGAAUAUUGAUUAUUAUUAUUAUUAUUAUUUUUUAUUUUUUUGGUAUGACCGAACCCCAAAGGGUUGCCUACGUAUCCUUUCGGAAUCAGGUCAAACGUAGUUCAAAAUAUUUCAAAGAGAGGUUUUUUUUUUUUCUUUUUUGGUUUUUUUUUUUCUUUUUUUUUUAAGAGAUGCCUUUGUUCUCUCAACCACAAACUUGUCAUAGUAUCUUAGAACGUAUUAGAUGUAGUAUCUUUUGACUGCGUCCGCAUUAACAAUUAUGCUUGUGAUUUUUCCCUCCACAUCAGUAAGGUGUAAGGUUCCUUUGGACAACACUUCCUUGAUAAGAUAUGGACCUUGCCAAUUUGGGGCAAACUUUCCCUUGGCCUCUUCUUGGUGCGGGAGAAUGCGCUUUAAGACCAGUUGACCUACUUCAAAGUGUCUUGGGUGCACCUUUUUGUUGUAUGCACGAGCCAUCCUUUGCUGAUAAAGCUGACCAAAACAGACGGCCGUCAAUCGCUUCUCAUCUAUUAAUGUGAGCUGCUCUAAUCAGGUUUAGACCCAUUCAGUAUCUUCAAUUUCAGCCUUGACAAUAAUUCAAAAAGAUGGAAUUUCAACUUCCGCUGGUAUCACAGCCUCAAUCCCAUACACCAGUAAAUAAGGAGUUGCACUAAUCGAGGUGCGCACUGUUGUGCGAUAUCCUAAAGGUGCAAAAGGCAGCUUCUCAUGCCAUUGUCUAGUGCCUUGAACCAUUUUCCUGAGAAUCUUUUUGAUAUUCUUGUUGGCUGCCUCCACAGCUCCGUUGGCCUUUGGUCGGUAUGGAGUAGAAUUGUGAUGCGCAAUUUUGAACUGCUCAUAUACCUCCUUCAUCAAAUUGCUAUUAAGGUUUGCAGCAUUAUCUGUGAUGAUAGUUCUUGGGAUACCAAAACGACAAAUGAUGUUUGAAUGGACAAAAUCCACGACCGCCUUCUUAGUGACUGCCUUGAAAGUGAUUGCCUCUACCCAUUUAGUAAAGUAAUCAAUUGCGACCAAAAUGAAUCGAUGUCCAUUAGAAGCUUUUGGCUCAAUUGGUCCGAUGACAUCCAUUCCCCAUGCAACAAAGAGCCAAGGAGCGGCCAUGGGGUGCAACUCUGAAGGAGGUGAAUGAAUGAGAUCACCAUUAAUUUGACAUUGAUGACAGUUUUUCACAAAGCGAAAGCAAUCCCGUUCCAUGGUAAGCCAGUAAUAUCCUGCUCGGAGUAUCUUUUUCGCAAGGACAUAUCCAUUCAUGUAUGGUCCACAUACCCCAGCAUGUAUUUCAUUCAUGAUCUUCUCAGCUUCUUCAGCAUCCACACAUCUCANNNNNNNNNNNNNNNNNNNNNNNNNNNNNNNNNNNNNNNNNNNNNNNNNNNNNNNNNNNNNNNNNNNNNNNNNNNNNNNNNNNNNNAAAAAGAAACCACUAGCCAGACGUCUAAUAGUUCUUUUUUGGCUUCUAUUGGCAUGUUCGGGACAUUUCCCUGUUUGCAAGAAAUUCCUAAUGUUUAGGUACCACGGCUCACCGUCUGAUUCUGCUUCCACAGUGUUACAAUAGCCAUGCUGGUCCCGAAGUUGAAUCUCCAAGGGAGUAAUACAAGUGUUUCCAGGAUAUGGAAGCAUUGAGGCCAAGUAGCCAAGGCAUCUGCCAAUUCAUUAUGAAUCUGGGGAUGUAUCUAAACUCGAUGGACCUAAACCUUUUGCUAAGAUCCUCCACACAUUGUUUGUAGGGAAGAAGCUUGAGGUCUCGAGUUUUCCAUUCGCCUUGAGCUUGCCUAAUAAGCAAAUCAGAAUUUCCCAACACAAUCAAUUCUUGCACACCCAAAUCUAUUGCCAUAUUUAGACCCAUGAUGCAAGCUUCAUACUCUGUUGUGUUAUUUGUACAGAAGAAACAAAGUCGAGCUGUUGCAGGGUAAUGUUGUCCCGUGGGCGAUAUGAGAAUUGCCCCAAUCCCUGUGCCCUUUUUGUUGAUUGCUCCAUCAAAGUAUAAUUGCCAGGCCUGGUUUUCAUCUGGAUCUACUUCUUCAACUGAGUUAAUCUCUUCAUCUGGAAAAUAUGUAUCCAGUGGUUCGUAGUCGCCAUCGACUGGAUUCUCUGCCAAGUGAUCUGCCAGAGCUUGAGCUUUCAUUGCAGUUCGAGUGAUAUAUAUAAUGUCAAAUUCAGUGAGCAAGAUUUGCCAUUUCGCGAGUUUGCCAGUUGGCAUUGGCUUCUGAAAGAUGUACUUCAAAGGAUCCAUCCUAGAUAUGAGGUAAGUUGUGUAGGACAAAAGGUAAUGCCUUAACUUUUGAGCUACCCAAGUUAGGGCGCAACAUGUCCUUUCCAAGAGGGUGUACUUGACCUCGUAACUAGUGAAUUUCUUGCUCAAGUAGUAGAUAGCUUGCUCCUUCCUGCCUGUGGAAUCGUGUUGACCAAGAACGCACCCAAAGGAAUUAUCUGUCACUGAAAGAUAUAGAAAGAGAGGCCUAUCAAGUUCAGGCGGGACCAAUACGGGAGGUUUGGACAAAUAUUCCUUGAUUUUUCAAAAGCUUGUUGACAAUCAUCCGUCCAUCUGACAGCAACAUCCUUUUUCAAAAGUCUGAAAAUGGACUCACAAGUGAUUGUGAGUUGAGCAAUAAACCUGCUAAUGUAGUUCAACCUCCCAAGAAGACUCAUGACUUCGGUCUUAUUUUUUGGGGGUGGCAAAUCUCGAAUGACUUUUAUUUGGAAGGAUCCAAUUCGAUUCCCCUUGUACUGACAAUAAAACCCAGAAGUUUUCCAGAUGGAACUCCAAAUGCACAGUUUGCUGGAUUAAGCUUGAGAUCAUAUCUUCGCACUCUUUCGAAGAAUUUUCUCAGAUCUUGCACAUGGUCAGCUUGUGUUUUAGACUUGAUAAUUACGUCAUCGACGUAUACUUCGAUUUCUUUAUGCAUCAUAUCAUGAAACAUUGUGGUCAUAGCCCUCAUGUAAGUUGCCCCAGCAUUUUUAAGACCGAAUGGCAUGACCCUAUAGCAAUAAGUCCCCCAUGGAGUGGUGAAAGCAGUUUUCUCAGCGUCCUCUUCGUCCAUCAAGAUUUGAUGAUACCCCGCAUAGCAGUCCACAAAUGAUUGAAUUUCGUGUCUGACACAAUUAUCCACUAGAAUGUGGAUAUUAGGCAAGGGAAAAUUGUCUUUUGGACUAGCUUUGUUCAAAUCUCGAUAGUCAACACAAACUCUUGUCUUUCCAUCCUUUUUCGGCACAGGAACAACAUUUGCCAACCAAAUUGUGUAACGAAUGGUUUGGAUCACAUUUGCAUUUAGUUGUUUCAUGAUUUCUUUCUUGAUUUUUUCACUCACGUCCGGUUUGAAUUUUCUUUUUUUUGUUGGACGGGUGGAAAAUCAGGAUGAGUGGGCAACUUAUGGACUACUAGAUCAACACUCAAACCUGGCAUGUCAUCAUAGGACCAAGGAAACACAUCUUUGUAUUCAAACAAAAGUUGUAUUAUGGCAUCCCUAAUUUCCUUCUUGACAAGAAGACUUAUUUUUAUUUCUUUGACUUCCUCAUUACUUCCCAAAUUGAUGGCCUCAGUUUCACUAAGAUUAGGCUUAGGUUUGUGCUCAAACUGUUCCAAUUCCCUAUUAAUUUCCCUAAAAGCCUCUUCUUCAUCAUAUUCAACCUCUCGACUCGGGGAUUCAAGAAAUAACAACUCUUUAAGAUCUGGGAGUGAAUUCCACAUGCAUGUCAUGUUAUCAAAGCCGGCAUUUACAGAACUGAAAAAAUGGAGAAUAAGAAUCAGGGGAGGGAAAAGAAAAAGUUUUACUAUGAAACUGGAAUUUCAUUUCAUUGGAAUUAAAAAAAAAGAUAGAAGGGUUGACAUUAAUAUAAAAUACUUUCAAACUUUCGGAUCACAACCCUGACAAAAACAAAAUACAAAGAGUAGCAAAACAAACUACCAAGACUCCUUCCUUAUGGGGAAAGGAGUGGCUUCCCAAUUGCUUAGCUCAACACCUGAGCCCACGAGCUGCACAUCGGCAUGACUUGUACCUUCACCAACUUGAACCAUGUUUACUUCACAAAACAACUGACUGAGAUCCUGAAUAACUUCUUCAAUGUCUUCAUGAGUAAAAGAAGCUUCCAUUUCUGGACCCUGAGACUUGAUAAAGGAUGAUAAAUAUGGGGAAUCGGUUGUGGCAACGCCCAAUCAGUCCCUUUGUGGUUAUUACUCUCAUCUUCAUUUCUCUUGCUUUGUUUGUAUCCGAGGCCAGAGGUGCUUUGGUUCCCAAAAAGAGUAAUGGGAUCCACAAUUCCUUGAGAACAUAGUCCCAAACCUUUACUAGGCUGAUAACCAUAUUUGAGCAUGGUCGUUGCUACCAUUGAAGAGGAAGAAGAGAGACAUGGUUGGAUAAUGGGGUCUCCUUCUCUAAAGCGAUUGACUGAUACGGCCUCAAAAGACUGGUAAACAAUGGAAUCACAUCCUUCUUUUGCCUCAAUGUAUGGAAUGGAGGGAUCUCUGUAAAUAGGUAAAUCAUCUUCCCCAUGCACAAUGAUUUCCUGAUUGUUGUGUUCAAACUUAACAACUUGAUGCAGAGUUGAUGGGUCUGCCCGAGCCUCUGUCAAGGCUAAUUUUCAAGUUUUGCAGCGUAGAGAGAGGACAUAUGUCUACCCCGGAUCCCCCAUCUAUCAUGACCCUCUUUACAUAGUACCCUUCAUAUUUCACUGUAAGAAGCAAUGCUCUGUUGUGUCCAGCUCCCUCUGUGGGCAACUCAUCAUCAGUGAAAGUGAUGGUGUUUGACUCAAAGAUGCGCUUGGCCAUUUUCUCUAACUGAUUUACCGUGGUCUCCUUCGAUACAUGUGCUUCAUUCAAAAUCUUAUUCAACACACGACGAUGUUCUUCUGAGUGCAGGAGUAGAGACAACAAUGAAAUUUGUGCCGGGGUUUUCUUCAAUUGUUCCACAACAGAGUAAUCCGGAACCUUUAUCUUUUUUAGAAACUCUUCUGCUUCUUCUUCAGUAACUGCUUUCUUCAGUGGUACUUGGAUGUUUUGAGUCAUCUUCCCUUUUCUUAAUUCUUCUUGAGAAUAACAUCUUCCAGAGCGUGUCAGCCCUCCUACUUCAUCAACCUCUUCAACAAUCUCCUUUCCUCGGUAAACCACAGUGAUUUUGUUAUAGUUCCAAGGGACAGCCUUCAAAUCAGUUACCGGAAGCUGUUGGACAAGCUUAACAAAGAUAGGUCCUUUCAACUUUGCCAAGCAAAAUUGGUCCUGUUGUGUUAAUGAAAAACCUUUUGAUACAUACAACUUCGGCAUACCUGCUCGAACUUCAAUCCCCUUCGAAACCCCCGGGACACACAAAACUUUGGUAUCAAGGUUGACACCUUCCACACUCAAAGAUGCAACUGGUUCUAAACUCUUUAUCGGCUUAUUUUCCUCUCCGAUCUUCCUAAACAACUUUCCCAUUUUGCCAAGGAGUUUAUACUCUUGAUCAUCGCAGAUCAUACCCACUAAAUUGUUUUGAGCUGGAAGUGGGUUAUUAGUCACAUUGGGAGUGUUUUGAUCAUCUGUCACAACGACCACUCCAUGAUCGAUUAGCUUCUUUAUCGCCCCCUUCAAGGUCCAACAAUUAUCAGUGAUGUGUCUUGGGGCCCCUGAAUGAUACUCAUAUCUUUCAUUGGCUUGGAAACCUAGAGCAGUUGGAUUCAGACGAUGUGGUGGGAUAGACCCAAUCACUCCUAUCUUUCUUAACUUUUGAAACAAGCUGGAGUAUGACUCUCCCAAUGGAGUAAAUUUUCUUUUCUGUCCUUGAUCUUGAGCAUAAUUUUGCAUAGGAGGAGGGUUGUAAGGGACCUGAUAGGGUGGUCGUUGUGGGCGAAGGUUUCCUUGAGUUGGGGCCCGAAAAUGUGGGCGAUUGGGAGAAAGCACAUAUGACUGAGCAUUGAAAACCGUGUAUGGAGAUGGAGAUACUGGAUAUUGAGGGACAUAAGGGUAGUAAUGUUGAGGAUAGCUAGAUUGUCCCUGAAGUGGUGGGUAAGGACAAUUAUAAUUCCUUUGAGCACCUAUUGACCCUGAUACUAGCGAAGAAACUUCCUCUUUUCUUUUGCGAUUUCCAAAACUUCCUGAACCACCUUGAAUGGCCUGUGUGGUAGCUUUGAUUGCUGCCUGGCUCACAAUCCUUCCUGUUUUGAGACCACUUUCGACCAUUUCUCCGAUUUUGAUUGUUGUGUGAAAUGGUCUUCCCAUUGCGACUGUCAGGUGGUGGAAGUAGUCAGGAUCUUGAGCCUCUAUAAAGAUAUCAACCAAUUCUUGCUCAUCUAAUGGUGGCUUGACCCGGGCUGCUUGUUCCCUCCAUUUGAUAGCAUACUCUCUGAAGCUUUCAUUUGACUUCUUUCUCAUAUUAGAAAGUGUAUUGCGAUCUGGCAUAAUGUCGACAUUGUACUGAAAUUGUCUAACAAAAUCUUGAGCCAUAUCAUCCCAGAUGUGCCAGUGGGAGAUCUCUUGGUCUAUAAACCAUUCUGAGGCAACACCAGUUAGGCUCUCACCAAAAUAAGCCAUGAGCAGUUCCUCUUUACCCCUGCACCUCUAAGUUGAUUGCAAUAUCUCUUGAGGUGAGCUAUGGGAUCACCGUGCCCGUCAUACUUAUCAAACUUAGGGGUUUUGAAUCCAGGUGGCAGGUGGACAUUUGGGAACAUACACAAGUCCUUGAACGCGACACUUUUGUGCCUUCCUAGCCCUUGCAUACUUUUCAUAUGUUGCUCGAUGCUUUUCAUUUUCUUCAACAUUUCCUCUUUCUCUGAGACUUGAGGGGGCCUCUCAACAUCAAUAGGGGAGCCGAAUUGUACAGAGUUAGGGCCCCCGAAUGCUAUCCUAGGAGUAUAGUAUUGCUCUGGAUGGACGGUGAACUAUCCCUCUUGAGCUGCUCUCUGCGUCACAGUUGGUUGUGGGAGAGUAUAGACCGGUGCAGCUGUCGCGACAGUGGGAUUAUUCCUGAAUGGCAUGCCUUGAGGGCGUGUUGUUGAUGGUCCGACCCCACAAUUAUCAAAUGGACCAUACCCCCGGAGGAAAGAAAGGAUCUGAUAUCGGGACCUGAGAAGACGAAGAUCGGAUACUAGUGAUCUCAGGAAAACCGGGAAUAGACGUUGGUGGUUCUUGGCCAUUGGCCCAGGCUUGACACAACUGUGCCAUAACAUGCCUCAAUGUCCGAUUUUCUUCAACAGUGGCUGACUCUCUUGUCGUUGAAUCAACUGGAGUAUCCACUGGGUUUACCGCAGUUUCAGUAUUGCUUGUCAUUGACGUUCUUACCUUAGACCUGGUAAAGUACGGGUGUUCUGCCAGUUUACCACAAACCAACCAUCGAAAGCUUACUAAACUAAAGAGAAAUGAACAAACUUGUUAGGGGUUAGACAAUUUUACACAUCAAUCACACAUUUGUUAAUCACAUAGUAACAAGAGUUCAGAAGGCCAUUGUCUCAUCCCAGCUUUGCUUUGUUUUUUUUUUUUUUUAAAGUUUUGAUCGAACCCUUUGGAGGUUGCCUACGUAUCAUGUCGCCGCAUGAAUCAGAUCAUUACGUAGUUCAGAAAUUUAGACCACUCAACAACAUUAAUUUAGAUAAGCAAAGUCCAACCAUUUCAUUCAUUUCCAAAAAAAAACUUUAAGCAAAACGACAAGAUCAAUGGGUUUAAACACAACCAUGAUCAACAUGAUCUUUUUGAACACCGAACUUUAAACUGAAACACUGAGUCUUAAAUAAAAACAAGAUAAAACAAACAAACAAACAACCUAAACAACUAAACUCUUCUUCAAUCUUCAUCAUCUUCCUUGGGCUUUCUUUGUCCUCCUAAGGUCACAUACAGAUUCAACAACACCUUCGGCAGAUGGGGAACAAUGGCUCGUGCUUGCUCAGCCACUUCUGGAUAAUUCAUGCGACGAUGAUUCUUAAUAACAUGGGAGGUUUGUUCCGCCAGCUGAUGAACUUGACGCCUAGCCUUUUCCCAUAUUUUCAUAACAGUUAUUCAACCAAACCUGAUGAUCACCAAGAUUGUUCCUUAAGAGGGCCUCUCGCUCCUCGGCUGCUUCAAGUUGAUGGCGAAGUGUUGCUCUCUCAAUGAUCAUUUUGUCUUUGCCCCUCUUCGAUAUCAACACACUGACUGAUUUUUCUUUAUGUUCUUCUAACUCUGCUUUAAGCUGAUCAUGUAAAUGCAUCCAACAUGACCUUUCUUUCUCAAAUUUCUCCUUCCGCCGCUUAAGUUCUCCCCUUUGGUAGUUCACGACCUCUUCAGAUGCCACUAAAUCCCUCUUCAAUCGAGAAAUUUCAAAACUCUGCUCCUUUUUUAUUUGUCGGGCCAAGUGAAUUCUACUAUCCAACUCUUCCUCUAUCUUUUUUUUAUCUGUCGGGCCAAAUGAAUUCCACUAUCCAACUCCUCCUCUAUCGAGCUAAUUUCCCCUCUGUAUUCUUCAAUUCCCCCUCCACAUCUUGUAACUCCAACUGGUGAUUUCUUCAUAUAUGGACUUGAACUUCUUGUCGGGCUAUGGUGGCUUUGGCAUUCUCCAACUCUUUUUCCAACUGUCAUAUGGUGUGCUUGUCUUUUCUUUUUCUGCUGGAUCCUUCGGGAAUGUCACCAAAUGUUGUUGGAUCACGAAACCACAAUAAGUACCCAGGCACCACUUUUCCUUUAUCUUACUCCACAACCAUUUCACUUAGCUCCGAAAUUAUACUCCCAAACCAGAUCUUCAGAAUAUCAGCGCUAUCAAAAGGCAAAACCUGGCGGGGUGUCAAAUACAAAUCUACUCAUAUCAUCAUUUGGUGGGAUUUCUUGUACUCUAGCCAGCUGACGCAUAACCCGAAGUGGGGCAUAGGGUUGAACACCUCUAAACCCAAUCAACACAAGAAACGAGAUACCACUAGACAUGCAUAUGACAUCCUUAGCUGGGAACAAGUAAUAAUUCCACACUAUUUCAUCAGACGUGAUCACCGAAAGUUUCUCUUCACACGCUGUAAUUCCUUUUGGGAAAUCGAUUUUUGUUUCUCUUUCCUUAUGGGAAGAAACAUAAUUACACCAGUCUGGAGUGAACCUGGGUGCACGGUCAUGGUGAUAAAGAUGUUCCAAAAACCAUAUCUGCAACAAGAUGUUGCAGCUUUCAAAGUACAUUUCCCCAUUUAUGCAUUUAGUCAAUGCACGAAAUAUAUCUGCCAGGAUCAUAGGAAUAAUAGUAGGACUCUCCAUUGUGGUCAACGCCUUCACCACCCCAGCCAGACGAAUAUCGAUAUGCUUAUCCCGUUUGGGGAAAACAAUGAGCCCCAAAAACGCGACCAUGAAGGCAAAACAUCCAUUCGCCUUCCAAGCCUCUUCACCCCCUUGGUUGCUAAGUUGGUUUCGAUAGUUUUCAAAUUCAUCCUUUUGGCCAUACCUCUCAUAUAGAAAGUCCAAUGAAACCCACCCAUUUUUCAAUCUCUCCUUCUCUACUUGAUUGAUCUUGAGAAGUUCCAAGAACUUUUUGGCAUCAACGUUCUUUGGAAUUACAGGUUUUUUGUUGCGGAGAUCAGCACCCCGAACACUGGACCCCUUCCCCAUGAAGCUGGCGAUUUCUUCCAGAGUUGGUGUCAUCUCGAAGUUAGAAAAUUGAAAUACAUUAUUUUUUGAAUCCCAGAAAGGAAUCAAUGCCUCGAUCACAUCCCUUCUAGGGUCAAUCUCCAUUAGAUGCACUAGAUGUCCCAGAUGUUAUUUUACUCUCCUUUGCUCAUGACUCUCCAUGUCUGUCCACUAUCGCCAUAAAUUCUUAGGUAUUGUGUCAACGAUCAUGAACUCUGGAAUUUCUUCACUUCUAGGCCUUUUGGAACCCUGUCCUUUGGUCGGAGGUGCCAUUUGUACCUUUGAAUAGAGUCCAAAUUAAUGUUUUAUGACAAACUCUAACCGAGGGAGGGAAGAAGAGUAAACAAAAAAUUAUUUUAAAAAAAAAACAAAAUACCUCUUUUUACAAACACCAAACCCGAGAAGGGAUGCCUACGUAUCUCAUUUUAGUGAGAAUCAGGUGUGCGUAGUCAUAAAAAAAAACUCACACUUGAAAGACUAUCCAUUUUAUUUCAACCUCUUUUAUUAUUAUUAUUUUUUAAAAAAUAAAAAAUUGAAAGACAAAGCUAUCAUAAAGCUGGUUGACAAUAUAAAGGCCUUCUGAACAAAUUAUUUUCACGUAACACAUAAAAUGAACAUGUUGGUCUAGAGUGGGCACAUAUCUUAGAUUUUCUAGGUCAAAUGCAAAUGAUACAAAUAAACGUAGCCUACCAGAGAUAGUUUUUGCUAGGUUUAGUACUUUAUUUGGAAGGUGUCUAGACUGGCUUACUCGAGUGGACAACUCGAGCUGGGGAGGGUCAGCGUACCAGUAGCAGAGCUAUUCCGGCUUAACUGGUGGUCCAACCCCGCCUAACAUGUGUGACAAACCUAGAACCAGGAGCGUAACCGCACACUGGCUCAUCCUAGACAGAAGUCCCGUGGAGCGUAUCCGCACACACAGUGUAUAAAAAAAAUCUAAAGAUUCAGAGAGUGUGCAAGAGGAGGCAAUUUAUAUACAAUUACACAAUAUUAAAACAAUGAAUCAUUGAAAUAGCGCAAUUAGUCAAAAAAAGGUUAUCCAAAUAUUCAAAAUAGCCAAAUAUAGUAAUUUACAAAGUUCAAAUUCUAAAGAAAGUCCCCAGCAGAGUCGUCAGAUCUAUCACACCACUUCUCUUUUUACAAUAGUUAUGGAUACGACGUUUUUAUUUUAAAAUAAAAAAAAUAAAAAAUAGAAUAAAAAUAAAAUAUAAAACUAAACAAAAAAUGAUUAUUAUUUUUUAAAAAAUAAAAUAAGUCGUCACUUGAAAAUGAGAUUUUUAGGUGUUCCAAGUCACCUAGUAAUUCCUAAUUUUAAAAAAAGAGAAAAAAAAAUCUUUUUAUUUUUAGUCUAACUAAAACAGAGAUUAGGUAAGGAAUUCUAUUGACCGGAGGGAAGGUGUGAGGCACCCCUCGAGUCCCGUGGUUCUAGCACGGUCGCUUUAUCAACUAGUGUUUGGCUAAAAUAAUUUUUGGAUAGAAGAAUAAAUUUGUGUUAGUUACUAAUCUUUUUUUUUUAAUAAAAAAUGAUUGACCUAGGAGCGUAACCGCACACAAGAUCACCUUUUUUAGAAAGAAUACACACUAAGGAUCGUAACCGAACACAGGGUGGUAUUUAAAGUUUAGUUUAUUUUUUCUAAAAAAAGAUUGAUAAUUAAUGACUCAAAUUUUAUUUAAUAAUGAGCAAAGAAAAAAAAUUGAAAAAAAAAAGAACUUGUUGCAACAUAUAGACUUGAACAAAGAUUAUUUUUUUAAAAAAUAAAUAAACAAAUAAAUAAAUAUAUUAAGUGUCCCUACUUGAUGAUAACAACAAAAGAAAAAAAAAGUAUACAUUCUUUUUUUUAAAAAUAAAAUAAAAUAAUGACUAGGUCCCUUUUAAAACAACUAAUGAUAUACUAAAAAAUUUAUAUUGAUAUAAUUUCAGGAAAAAAAAACGACCACUUUGAUAAAAUUUUCAGUAUUUCAUAAAAUGGUCAUAUGUUUUCUUUUGAAAGAAAAUUGCAAAAAUAGCCUAUUUUAUCUAAUAAUUAAAUCACUAACCAAAGUAGCCGAUUUUGUAUUUCGUUUCAAUAACCAUUUUAUAUAUUUAUUUAAGAGAAACUGAAUUUAUGAAAUGGUCAAAUUUACAUUAUUUUUGCAAAAAUGACCAGAUUUACAUUUUUCAGCAAAAAUGGCUAGAUUUACACUUUUUGCAAAAAUGUCCAGAUUUAGUUUUGCAAAAAACCAGCCACUUUUUUUUUCUUUUCUUAGAAUGAUCAGAAACUAAAAAUUAAAAAAAAGACUUUGAGAUUGUUGUUAUUUUUUUAGCAAAAAGGCAUGGUUUAUGUAUUAACUUCAUAAUGAUAAAUAUAAAAUUCACUCAUAGUUUAAUAAUAGAACACAAAUAUGUAAUAACAACAAGAUAUAAUUUAACUAAUUCCAAUAGAGUUAUAUAUUGUUUCAUAAUGAUAAGAUAGAAUUAACACUUAGUUUAAGUAAUAAAAACACAAAUAUACAAUAACAAUGAAACAUAAUCAUAUUAAGUAUCAUAACAUAUUUAACUAAUUCAAAUAAACUAAACAUAAUAAUUAAAAUCAAAAAUAUAAACAUGCUUCAUUAUUUCUGAAGUUACAUUGCAAAGUGUAAGGAAAGAAAUAUACCUAAAGAGAUGAUGACAAAACAAUGAUGAAAGCAAAAACUCAAUUCCACUCCCAAAAGACCACCAAAGAUGAAAUAUAUAUGUAUUUUUCUUUUUAAAGUAAUGAUUUUCCUUUUCCAAUUUUCUGUUCUUGUUCUUUCUCCUUUCUGUUCUUGUUCUUUCUCCUUUCUUUUUCUUUUUCCCCUCCUUAAUCAAAUAAGAGUGGGGGUUUAAAUAGGUGUUGAGCAUUAAACCCCCCACUCUUCUUGAAAACUUAAGAGCCAAUGCAUGCAUUGGACUCUUUGUUUUCCCAAGGUGCCACCCAAGAUGACCAAUGGAAUUUUUUUUUUUUUUUCAAGAUAAAAUUAAUUAAAAAGACUAUAUUGCCCUUUAGAUGACCCAUUUCUUUUAUUCAUUAAUUGAAUAAUAGCUAAAUGGGUCAUCUGAAAAUUUAGAAUAGGCCCAAUAUGUUAUUUUAGAUGACCUAUUUCUUUUAUUCAUUAAUUGAAUAAUAGCUAAAUGGGUCAUCUGAAAAUUUAGAAUAGGCCCAAUAUGUUAUUUUAGAUGACCUAUUUCUUUUAUUCAUUAAUUGAAUAAUAGCUAAAUGGGCCAUCUGAAAAUUUUAAAAUAGGCCCAAAAUUGAUCAAGACCCAAAAAUCAAAACAAAAU
Molecule: long non-coding RNA, 16410 nt
Filed under: Solanum tuberosum (potato)
Lineage: Eukaryota; Viridiplantae; Streptophyta; Magnoliopsida; Solanales; Solanaceae
Description: long non-coding RNA (STUB_LNC007270)
Source: RNAcentral